Molecule: long non-coding RNA, 1116 nt
Filed under: Calidris pugnax (ruff)
Lineage: Eukaryota; Metazoa; Chordata; Aves; Charadriiformes; Scolopacidae
Description: lncRNA (ENSCPUG00000008887.1)
Source: RNAcentral
AUGGGGUGCCUCACGAGGGAAUCAGGGUCCCUCAGGAGGGAAUGGGGGUCCCUCACAAGGGAAUCGGGGUCCCUUGCCAGAAAAUGGGGUGCCUUGCCAGGGAAUGGGGUCCCUCAGCUGGGAAUCGGGGUCCCUCACCUGGGAAUUGGGGUCCCUUGCCAGAAAAUGGGGUGCCUUGCCUGGGAAUUGGGGUCCCUCAGCUGGGAAUCGGGGUCCCUGGGGUCCUUUGCCAUGAAAUGGGGUCCCUCAGCUGGGAAUCAGCGUCCCUCAUCAGGAAAUGGGGUCCCUCAGGAGGGAAUUGGGGUCCCUCGCCAUGAAAUGCGGUCCCUUACCAGGAAAUGGGAUGCCUUGCCUGGGAAUCAGGGUCCCUCACCAGGAAUUGGGGUCCCUCACCAGGAAAUGGGGUCCCUCAUGAGGGAAUGGGGUCCCUUACUAGGAAUUGGGGUCCCCUGUGAGGAAAUGGGGUCCCUCACGAGGGAAUUGGGGUCCCUCAUCUGGGAAUUGGGGUCUCUUGCCAGGAAACGGGGUCCCUCACCUGGGAAUCAGGGUCCCUCACCUGGGAAUGGGGUGCCUCACGAGGGAAUCAGGGUCCCUCAGGAGGGAAUGGGGGUCCCUCACAAGGGAAUCGGGGUCCCUUGCCAGAAAAUGGGGUGCCUUGCCAGGGAAUGGGGUCCCUCAGCUGGGAAUCGGGGUCCCUCACCUGGGAAUUGGGGUCCCUUGCCAGAAAAUGGGGUGCCUUGCCUGGGAAUUGGGGUGCCUCACAAGGGAAUGGGGGUCCCUUGCCAGGAAAUGGGGUGCCUCACAAGGGAAUGGGGGUCCCUUGCCAGGAAAUGGGGUGCCUUCUCUGGGAAUUGGGGUCCCUUGCUGGGGAAUGGGGUGCCUUGCUGGGAUGUGGGGGUCCCUCGCCUGGGAACUGGGGUCCCUUGCCAAGAAAUGGGGUGCCUCACAAGGGAAUGGGGGUCCCUUGCCAGGAAAUGGGGUCCCUCACCUGGGAAUCGGGGUCCCUUACUAGGAAAUGGGGUCCCUUGCCAGGAAAUGGGGUGCCUUGCUGGGAUGUGGGGGUCCCUCACCUGGGAAUGGGGUCCCUCCCCUGGGAAUUGGGGUCCUUUGCCAUGA